Long non-coding RNA from Lycium barbarum (goji berry), 1333 nucleotides. RefSeq lists it as uncharacterized. The transcript has 2 exons. The record is from RefSeq and is a predicted model, not a curated record. NCBI's taxonomy places the organism in Eukaryota, Viridiplantae, Streptophyta, Magnoliopsida, Solanales, Solanaceae.
GGUGGGCCCUAUGGCCAAAGCAUAGGAUUCACUUAAGAAUUCAUAUUAAAGAUGUAGUGAUCUGUCUAAGGAAUAGAAACAUUUUUCUUCAAUAGUAGACCAACGUCUUCUUCAAUAUUAUGUAGCAGAAACGUUUUUCUUCAAAUAACAUGGCAAUAUUCUCUUCUAAACACAUAGCAGCUACGUUAUUCCAUUUCACCGUGUAGUGGGAUCUGGGUUUCUUCAAGAUGAAGUAAUAUGGAAGAAGAGUAUUUCUUGGCAUAUAAGACCUGCGAGCUCGAGAAGUAGACGUUGGACAUUAGAUAGAGUUCAAGGUAUGUGAGGCUAGUCCUUUCUAUCUAUGGCAUGAAUCUUAUAGCUUGACUCUCUUUUUAUCCAUGAGUUUCCUUAAGUUCCGGAAAAUAUGAGUCUAUGUCCCUAAUUAGCCACACAAGGUAAUGAGUAAAGUAUAGAAAUCCCAAUACUCAUGUUGUGAUGAUCCUAUGAUGUUAAUGAUGCUAUUUAUUGCUUACACUCACCUUAUAUGUUAAUUCCUUCAAGGUGAGGCAGGAUGUCAAUGAAUGUUCCACAAUGACGUCGGAAGCCACCGACCUCACGUCACUCCGAUAUAGUUAUGGUUUUUGAUUGGGCUCUUACGCAUUCUUUAUAUAUAUACGUAUGUAUUUUCUCACACCGCGCCGCGCUAUAGUCGGCCGGGCAGGCACGUAGAUGUGCACACCACUAUAGUGGGCAGCUUAUACCCCGGACGCGGGAGGCCUGGACGCAGGCUAUGAUUAUCACACCGCUCCUACAUGGACGGGCAGCUUAUACAUUAUCACACCGUACCUAUAUGGACGGGCAGCUUAUAUAUGUAUACGUACAUGACAUGAUAAUGAUUAUGAGUAAGUCAGCAUGCAGUAUGCCUCUAUAAUUCACAGUUAGUUACAUAUUAUACCUUAUUUUAUUGAUGCCUCCCUAUUUCAUUGAUGUAUUAUUAUUGAUUAUGCCUCUCAUACUCAGUACAAUAUUCGUACUGACGUCCGUUUUCUUGGACGCUGUGUUCAUGCCCACAGGUAGACAGGGAGAUGAUCUUGAUCCAGGUUUAUAGGAGUUAGCGGCUGAUUUGAGAGCACUCCAUUGUUCGGAGGUGCUUAUGGUUAUUCUGUGUGUAUAUUUAUGUAUAUUUUGGGCAUGACGGAGUCUUGUUCCGCCUAUAUGUAUAGUACUUCAGUAGAGGCUCGUAGGUACGCAGCGUGGGUAGUAUGGUCUCACAGUUUUUACGUAUAUGCAUACUGCUAUUUUGAUAGCCUAAGGGCUUAUGUUUAUAAAAGUACGAUUUCUAGCAUGAAUUGUA